RNAcentral lists this long non-coding RNA (1288 nucleotides) under Mytilus galloprovincialis (Mediterranean mussel). The record is from RNAcentral. Lineage: Eukaryota; Metazoa; Mollusca; Bivalvia; Mytilida; Mytilidae.
UGGUGUUCUGAAAGACAUUACCAACAUUUAUCAACAUUUACUGUUGAAUUUAGUCAUUAUCUUAAAUAUAUAAAUAUUGUGCUAUUCUUUUUCCUUUACGUAAAUUACAACUUUUAAAAAUGAACCAUACACAUGUCAAUACCAGGUAUUGGUAUAUAUCCAUGCGGUAGGAACCCAUCCACGCAAUUAAUCAUCAAAAAACAUAUAUAUUUACCCAAAUAUUAUGGUUAAAAAACCUCUGAGGUUUCAUUAUAUUUGGAGUUAAAAAUUUAUUUGAAUUUCGGGAAAAUAUUACACAUCAUCUAAAUUGACCAAAAACUAGUAGAAGUGUUUUUGUUUGUUUAUACACUAAUAUAAAAGAAACCUAGUAACACUAAAUUCAAUUCCACAUUUAGGUGAUAGUGGCAAGUUACACGUCAGUUAACAGUCAUACUCUAUGGCAAGAGUUAUCGGCUCGGAAGAAAAGAUAAAUUACAAUCCAGACGAACAAAGUUUUCUUACAGCAUUAUUCCAUAAGUACAAUGUAUUCUAUAUUGGUAUUGUUUUAGUAGGUUUCUCUUUCAGAAUUUAGGAUUUGAGUAAAAAAUUAUAUAAGUCUUGAGAAAAGCGUUAUUCACCGCGCUAAACGUCACGCGCUUUUACAUUUAACGUUAUGCAUGGUCAAUUGGUUGAUGUGUAAUUGGUUUUACUAUUGGUUUUUGGUAAAUAUUUGUCAUUAAAUGCAUAGUUGUUAAUGUCUGUGUCAUUUUGGUCUCUUGUGGACAGUUGUCUCAUUGACAAUCAUACCACAUCUUCUUUUUUAUAUUGUCUUUUUGGAAUAUGAAAUAAAAUAUUUAGUUAAUAUUCACUUCGGCUUUUGGCCUCUGUGCAUAUCACGUUUUAAAAGUCAAUGAAACCGCAUUCUUGAAACAUUAAAAGACAGUUAAUUUAUUGUAUUGUACCUUGAAAAUUUUAAAUAAAUUCAAAUUUAGUAAAUAUAUUGAUAUUAAGAAAUUAUGUGGUGCUGAUUUCAACAUAAAAUUAACAUUGAAUGACUUGAUUUUAAUGGUGAGGUUUUACGCUAUGAUUUGAAAACAAUUUAACCUACUUAAAUAUAUAUACAUACUUUUUUAAUGUGCGUACGUUUCCUAUUUGGCAUUAACUAGAACCCUUGCAGUGUCCCUUUUUUCCAUUUUCUAUCGUACAUUCAAUGGUAUAUACUAUUUUUCAAACAAUUUUUAAUCAAUAUUGCCAAAAUACAAUAAAUAUAAAUAUACUUUAAAAAAAUCUAAGAGCAAAAUUAUAACAA